Dermochelys coriacea (leatherback sea turtle) is the source of this 1099-nucleotide long non-coding RNA. RefSeq lists it as uncharacterized. The record is from RefSeq and is a predicted model, not a curated record. The transcript has 2 exons. NCBI's taxonomy places the organism in Eukaryota, Metazoa, Chordata, Testudines, Dermochelyidae.
AUGCUCCUCUGUUGCAUACUUGCCUGAAGUUUCCUUGUUCCAGAGGGAUAAAGCCUAUCAAAUUCUAAUUUGACAAAGCCCUAAAUUGAGUGCCAGCUACUAGGUGGGUAUUUAAGUGUAAAUCAGAGGUCACACUUAAAAUACAGGCUUUAUUCAUAUUUCUUAUUGAUAUUUACUGAAAAAUGCCAGUACCACUUAAAAUAGUAUGAGUGUUUAACUCUACUCAGCUUCUAUGUUUGUGGAGUAAUAGCAUCUCAGUGCUUUAAGAAACCAAGUGUUAAUCUCUGCACUUCACAAAAAACAACCAACCAACCAACCACUCUGUGCCUGGGGAAAACAGACUUCAAUCUACUAUAUCAAAAGGCUAUCAACUCACCUGCAACUGGGUGAAACACACCAAUAGUCCCUUGCACUUCUCGCCUGCUUUUUGAGUGUGAGCUAGAGAACAGCAAAUGUGGCCAGCUGCUCUGUCAGAUAACAGGCUCAAUAGACUUUCAAUUCCAUCUACUACGUGGCAGAUGGCCUCUAUCCUACCCUUUGUCCCCUCUGCUGCUGCCUGGAGUCGAAGAGAGGACAGCUAUGCUUCCCUCCUCCCACAACUAUAAGUUACUUGCAGGGGGAUCAGAAGUGCUGCAUUGAACCAAUGUAGGUCUAGCUACUGCCUCUUGGGGAGGUGGAUUACCUAUGCUGAUGUGAGAACCCUACCCGUCAGUGUAAGUAGUGCUUACAUUGAAGCAUUAGUACAUAAGAUUAAUUAUGACUUGGUGGGAUAAAUCUCAUGACUGGGAUAUUGGCAUAGAGAGGCAUAGCUUGUUCAGGAAGACCAGGCAAGAGGUGUUGCAUUAUACAUCAAGAAUAUAUACACUUGUUCUGAGAUCCAGGUGGAGGUGUGAGGCAGACCAGUUGAGAGACUCUGGGUAAAUAUAAAGGGGGUAAAAAAAAAAUUAGGGGUGAUAUCAUGAUAAGGGUCAGCCAUAGACCACCAAAUCAGGAAGAGAAGGUGGAAGCAAUUUGGAUGAAAAUCAUCAUGAAAUGUUAGAUUUAAUGAUUUUAAGAAAAAAGGAAGGAGUGAGAGCAGCAGAAUAAGGACAAUGAACUU